RNAcentral lists this ribosomal RNA (484 nucleotides) under uncultured bacterium. RNAcentral's name for it is "partial 16S ribosomal RNA". It matches the Rfam family "Bacterial small subunit ribosomal RNA", at positions 30 to 507 of the family's 1533-position model. The record is from RNAcentral.
AUCGAACGCUGGCGGCAGGCCUAACACAUGCAAGUCGAGCGGAUGAAGGGAGCUUGCUCCUGGAUUCAGCGGCGGACGGGUGAGUAAUGCCUAGGAAUCUGCCUGGUAGUGGGGGAUAACGUCCGGAAACGGGCGCUAAUACCGCAUACGUCCUGAGGGAGAAAGUGGGGGAUCUUCGGACCUCACGCUAUCAGAUGAGCCUAGGUCGGAUUAGCUAGUUGGUGGGGUAAAGGCCUACCAAGGCGACGAUCCGUAACUGGUCUGAGAGGAUGAUCAGUCACACUGGAACUGAGACACGGUCCAGACUCCUACGGGAGGCAGCAGUGGGGAAUAUUGGACAAUGGGCGAAAGCCUGAUCCAGCCAUGCCGCGUGUGUGAAGAAGGUCUUCGGAUGGUAAAGCACUUUAAGUUGGGAGGAAGGGCAGUAAGUUAAUACCUUGCUGUUUUGACGUUACCAACAGAAUAAGCACCGGCUAACUUCGUG